Molecule: ribosomal RNA, 325 nt
Filed under: Alternaria alternata
Lineage: Eukaryota; Fungi; Ascomycota; Dothideomycetes; Pleosporales; Pleosporaceae
Description: partial large subunit ribosomal RNA
Rfam family: Eukaryotic large subunit ribosomal RNA
Source: RNAcentral
AUGCAGCUCUAAAUGGGAGGUACAUUUCUUCUAAAGCUAAAUAUUGGCCAGAGACCGAUACCGAACAAGUAGAGUGAUCGAAAGAUGAAAAGCACUUUGGAAAGAGAGUCAAACAGCACGUGAAAUUGUUGAAAGGGAAGCGCUUGCAGCCAGACUUGCUUACAGUUGCUCAUCCGGGUUUUUACCCGGUGCACUCUUCUGUAGGCAGGCCAGCAUCAGUUUGGGCGGUAGGAUAAAGGUCUCUGUCACGUACCUCCUUUCGGGGAGGCCUUAUAGGGGAGACGACAUACUACCAGCCUGGACUGAGGUCCGCGCAUCUGCUAGG